UUUGCCAUCAAGAGCCAGCCAUCCUAAUCUGUUUGCUUGAGCCAGCUAUCAUUGCUUCCAUAUUUUUUUUUCAAUUCUGUUGCAGAUUUCUUGUUUUUACUGCAUAAUUGGCAACUCAAUAGGUGAAUUUGAGUUUCUGCUUGUUUCUGUGCAUAGCAACUGUUUGAUCAUGUUUCAUUGAACAUUUAAAACUUGUUUGAAUGGUCUACUUGCUCUUUUCCCAGCCACAACAUCAUUUCACAUCUUAAACCAUCAUUUUGCUAGCCAUAUGCAAGUGUAUACCUCAUCUUGAGAUCCUUACUGUUUUGGAUCAGUUUCAUUGAGUUUGGAGUCGGUUUUG
This 340-nucleotide long non-coding RNA is filed under the name Vigna radiata. RNAcentral's name for it is "long non-coding RNA (VRAD_LNC008095)". Lineage: Eukaryota; Viridiplantae; Streptophyta; Magnoliopsida; Fabales; Fabaceae. The record is from RNAcentral.